GGCAAGUCUGUCCUUGGCUACA
RNAcentral lists this microRNA (22 nucleotides) under Zea mays. Its description in RNAcentral is "zma-miR169c-3p". Its record names the gene zma-miR169c-3p. The record is from miRBase by way of RNAcentral. Lineage: Eukaryota; Viridiplantae; Streptophyta; Magnoliopsida; Poales; Poaceae.